AGCUCAGCUGCUCGAACAAGGAUUCACUGCCCUCCUUCAGUCAAGAUGAAGUUUCUUUGGGUGGCUGUUGUAGUCUCCGCCAUGUCUAUGGUCGGGGCCAUCUUUAAUGAAACAGGUCCACUGGCAAACAUCAAUUGCACGAAACCGUUUGAAAUCAUCAGCAGGCAAAUGGACAAUCUUGCCUCAUUCAUCCGCUGUCGUUUCUACAUUCCUCGUCAAGAGACAUGUCCCCGACAUCAGAUCCUAAGUCUGCGUGCUAAGCGAUGCGUGUACCCUUCGAGCCUUGUCAAACGGUGCGAUCCUAAUAACAAGUUCAAUUCACCAAUGCCUCACUCCGCCUUAGGACGUAAGGGCUGGUAAGGGCGGGUAAUUUCCAACCUUAACAAGUCCCGUCGAAACAAAAGAAGAACCUUACCCCAAUGAUGUAUCGUAUUCACAUCAAACCUUUGUGAUGUCACAGCUGCUAUCUUGUAUUUUGUUGUUGUCUUGUGUUGUAAUAAAAUCAUUAACCUGCA
Long non-coding RNA from Haliotis rufescens (red abalone), 515 nucleotides. RefSeq lists it as uncharacterized. Lineage: Eukaryota; Metazoa; Mollusca; Gastropoda; Lepetellida; Haliotidae. The transcript is spliced from 2 exons. The record is from RefSeq and is a predicted model, not a curated record.